RNAcentral lists this long non-coding RNA (487 nucleotides) under Meriones unguiculatus (Mongolian gerbil). RNAcentral describes it as "lncRNA (ENSMUGG00000000454.1)". The record is from RNAcentral. Lineage: Eukaryota; Metazoa; Chordata; Mammalia; Rodentia; Muridae.
CAUUCAUCCAGGUAAAACUGGUGUCUGGCAUUAUCUACGGCAUGCCCUAAGGUUUAAAGACAUCACCGAAGCUAAGAGAAUAGUAAAACGCUGUCUUUGACACGCCCUCUUUAUUUCUGCUAUCACCCUUUUCCACUGUGAAGACAUGGUUUCUCUGUACCCGUUGGAUUUCCUCCUUUUGUAGCAAAGAAGAGCAUCUGUCCGCCAGCCUGGGCUUUGUCUUCCCUUGCUCUGCGACUGCACCAGCACAGAAACGCUACAUAAGGAGGCUUUUCAGCAGCGGAGCCUGGCGUUGAACUCGUGCCAUGGGGAAUGAAUUCUUCCAUAGACCCCUCAUCCUCUUCUGGAAGUUAAAGAGGGGCGAUUUGCAAAAAAGCAUAUGUUACCCUUCCGCUCAGAUGAGCCUGUCUCCACUCCAACACUGACCAUGCAUGUUGUAAGAGGAACAACACUGGCCAACAGCCACAAUUCUCAGGCAUAUGUUUAC